UAAGAGCACCCUUAGAUCCAGAUGUUGCCA
This 30-nucleotide non-coding RNA is filed under the name Homo sapiens (human). The record is from RNAcentral. Lineage: Eukaryota; Metazoa; Chordata; Mammalia; Primates; Hominidae.